Molecule: ribosomal RNA, 457 nt
Filed under: uncultured bacterium
Lineage: Bacteria
Description: bacterial SSU rRNA
Rfam family: Bacterial small subunit ribosomal RNA
Source: RNAcentral
UACGGAAGGCAGCGGUGGGGAAUAUUGCACAAUGGGCGAAAGCCUGAUGCAGCUAUGCCGCGUGUAUGAAGAAGGCCUUAGGGUUGUAAAGUACUUUCAUCGGGGAGGAAAAAACAAAACUAAUAAUUUUAUUUCUUGACGUUACCCGAAAAAGAAGCACCGGCUAACUCCGUGCCAGCAGCCGCGGUAAUACGGAGGGUGCUAGCGUUAAUCAGAAUUACUGGGCGUAAAGAGCACGUAGGUGGUUUUUUUAAAGUCAGAUGUGAAAUCCCUGGGCUUAACCUAGGAACUGCAUUUUGAAACUGAAAUACUAGAGUAUCGUAGAGGGAGGUAGAAUUCUAGGUGUAGCGGUGAAAUGCGUAGAUAUCUGGAGGAAUACCUGUGGCGAAAGCGGCCUCCUAAACGAAUACUGACACUGAGGUGCGAAAGCGUGGGGAGCAAACAGGGAUUAGAUACC